Molecule: ribosomal RNA, 469 nt
Filed under: uncultured bacterium
Lineage: Bacteria
Description: bacterial SSU rRNA
Rfam family: Bacterial small subunit ribosomal RNA
Source: RNAcentral
CCAGACUCCUACGGGAGGCAGCAGUGGGGAAUAUUGCGCAAUGGGCGAAAGCCUGACGCAGCGACGCCGCGUGAGGGAUGAAGGUCUUCGGAUCGUAAACCUCUGUCAGCAGGGAAGAACGGUCACUGUGCUAAUCAGCAGUGAAUUGACGGUACCUGCAAAGGAAGCACCGGCUAACUACGUGCCAGCAGCCGCGGUAAUACGUAGGGGGCAAGCGUUAUCCGGAUUUACUGGGUGUAAAGGGAGCGUAGACGGUUAUGCAAGUCUGGAGUGAAAGGCGGGGGCUCAACCCCCGGACUGCUCUGGAAACUGUAGAACUAGAGUGCAGGAGGGGUAAGUGGAAUUCCUAGUGUAGCGGUGAAAUGCGUAGAUAUUAGGAGGAACACCAGUGGCGAAGGCGGCUUACUGGACUGUAACUGACGUUGAGGCUCGAAAGCGUGGGGAGCAAACAGGAUUAGAUACCCGCGUA